Molecule: ribosomal RNA, 468 nt
Filed under: uncultured bacterium
Lineage: Bacteria
Description: partial 16S ribosomal RNA
Rfam family: Bacterial small subunit ribosomal RNA
Source: RNAcentral
GACGAACGCUGGCGGCGUGCUUAACACAUGCAAGUCGAACGGAAAGGCCCUGCUUUUGUGGGGUGCUCGAGUGGCGAACGGGUGAGUAACACGUGAGUAACCUGCCCUUGACUUUGGUAUAACUUCAGGAAACUGGGGCUAAUACCGGAUAGGAGCUCCUGCUGCAUGGUGGGGGUUGGAAAGUUUCGGCGGUUGGGGAUGGACUCGCGGCUUAUCAGCUUGUUGGUGGGGUAGUGGCUUACCAAGGCUUUGACGGGUAGCCGGCCUGAGAGGGUGACCGGCCACAUGGGGACUGAGAUACGGCCCAGACUCGUACGGGAGGCAGCAGUGGGGAAUAUUGCACAAUGGGCGGAAGCCUGAGGCAGCAACGCCGCGUGCGGGAUGACGGCCUUAGGGUUGUAAACCGCUUUCGCCUGUGACGAAGCGUGAGUGACGGUAAUGGGUAAAGAAGCACCGGCUAACUACGUG